RNAcentral lists this ribosomal RNA (427 nucleotides) under uncultured bacterium. Its description in RNAcentral is "partial 16S ribosomal RNA". It matches the Rfam family "Bacterial small subunit ribosomal RNA", at positions 355 to 774 of the family's 1533-position model. The record is from RNAcentral.
UGGGGAAUAUUGCACAAUGGGCGCAAGCCUGAUGCAGCCAUGCCGCGUGUGUGAAGAAGGCCUUCGGGUUGUAAAGCACUUUCAGCGAGGAGGAAGGUGGUGAGCUUAAUACGCUCAUCAAUUGACGUUACUCGCAGAAGAAGCACCGGCUAACUCCGUGCCAGCAGCCGCGGUAAUACGGAGGGUGCAAGCGUUAAUCGGAAUUACUGGGCGUAAAGCGCAGGCAGGCGGUUUGUUAAGUCAGAUGUGAAAUCCCCGGGCUCAACCUGGGAACUGCAUUUGAAACUGGCAAGCUAGAGUCUCGUAGAGGGGGGUAGAAUUCCAGGUGUAGCGGUGAAAUGCGUAGAGAUCUGGAGGAAUACCGGUGGCGAAGGCGGCCCCCUGGACGAAGACUGACGCUCAGGUGCGAAAGCGUGGGGAGCAAACA